AGGACGAACGCUGGCGGCGUGCUUAACACAUGCAAGUCGAGCGAUGAAGCUCCUUCGGGAGUGGAUUAGCGGCGGACGGGUGAGUAACACGUGGGUAACCUGCCUCAUAGAGGGGAAUAGCCUUUCGAAAGGAAGAUUAAUACCGCAUAAGAUUGUAGUACCGCAUGGUACAGCAAUUAAAGGAGUAAUCCGCUAUGAGAUGGACCCGCGUCGCAUUAGCUAGUUGGUGAGGUAACGGCUCACCAAGGCGACGAUGCGUAGCCGACCUGAGAGGGUGAUCGGCCACAUUGGAACUGAGACACGGCCCAGACUCCUACGGGAGGCAGCAGUGGGGAAUAUUGCACAAUGGGGGAAACCCUGAAUGCAGCAACGCCGCGUGAGUGAUGACGGCCUUCGGGUUGUAAAACUCUGUCUUUGGGGACGAUAAUGACGGUACCCAAGGAGGAAGCCACGGCUAACUACGUGCCAGCCGCCGC
RNAcentral lists this ribosomal RNA (476 nucleotides) under uncultured bacterium. Its description in RNAcentral is "bacterial SSU rRNA". It matches the Rfam family "Bacterial small subunit ribosomal RNA", at positions 26 to 518 of the family's 1533-position model. The record is from RNAcentral.